This is a non-coding RNA of Phialemonium atrogriseum, 110 nucleotides long. Lineage: Eukaryota; Fungi; Ascomycota; Sordariomycetes; Cephalothecales; Cephalothecaceae. The record is from the annotation of a RefSeq genome assembly.
GGCAAGAUGGCCGAGCGGUCUAAGGCGCUACGUUCAGGAUGCACUUCCACAAAGUCAAUUAAUUCUUCGUAGUCUCGCAAGAGGCGAGGGUUCGAAUCCCUCUCUUGUCA